CCCUUAGAUGUUCGGGGCCGCACGCGCGCUACACUGAAUGAAUCAGCGAGUGUAUGUCCUAGGCCGAAAGGUCCGGGUAACCCGUUGAACCUCAUUCGUGAUUGGGAUAGGGACUUGCAAUUGUUUCCCUUGAACGAGGAAUUCCCAGUAAGCGCAAGUCAUCAGCUUGCGUCGAUUACGUCCCUGCCCUUUGUACACACCGCCCGUCGCUCCUACCGAUUGGGUGUGCUGGUGAAAUGUUCGGAUCGGCCGUUUGUCGCGGUUUCCGCGUCAUGUGGCUGAGAAGUUCAUUAAACCCUCCCACCUAGAGGAAGGAGAAGUCGUAACA
RNAcentral lists this ribosomal RNA (328 nucleotides) under uncultured eukaryote. RNAcentral describes it as "partial 18S ribosomal RNA". It matches the Rfam family "Eukaryotic small subunit ribosomal RNA", at positions 1470 to 1796 of the family's 1831-position model. The record is from RNAcentral.